AAGUGCCUACGGGAGGCAGCAGUGGGGAAUAUUGGACAAUGGGGGGAACCCUGGUCCAGCGACGCCGCGUGAGUGAAGAAGUAUUUCGGUAUGUAAAGCUCUAUCAGCAGGGAAGAAAAUGACGGUACCUGACUAAGAAGCCCCGGCUAACUACGUGCCAGCAGCCGCGGUAAUACGUAGGGGGCAAGCGUUAUCCGGAUUUACUGGGUGUAAAGGGAGCGUAGACGGUGCAGCAAGUCUGCUGUGAAAGGUCGGGGCCCAACCACGGGACUGCAUUGGAAACUGUUGAACUGGAGCACAGGAGG
Molecule: ribosomal RNA, 305 nt
Filed under: uncultured bacterium
Lineage: Bacteria
Description: bacterial SSU rRNA
Rfam family: Bacterial small subunit ribosomal RNA
Source: RNAcentral